RNAcentral lists this ribosomal RNA (373 nucleotides) under Hymenochaete rhabarbarina. RNAcentral's name for it is "eukaryotic LSU rRNA". The stretch from base 1 to 146 matches the Rfam family "5.8S ribosomal RNA". Lineage: Eukaryota; Fungi; Basidiomycota; Agaricomycetes; Hymenochaetales; Hymenochaetaceae. The record is from RNAcentral.
ACAACGGAUCUCUUGGCUCUCGCAUCGAUGAAGAACGCAGCGAAAUGCGAUAAGUAAUGUGAAUUGCAGAAUUCAGUGAAUCAUCGAAUCUUUGAACGCACCUUGCGCCCUUUGGUAUUCCGAAGGGCACGCCUGUUUGAGUGUCAUGUUACUCUCAAUCCAACAGCUUUUGUUGUUCGGAUUGGAUUUGGGAGCCUGCUGGCCCUGUUUAUUGGGUCGGCUCUCCUUGAAUGCAUGAGUGAGCAUCUGGUUCGCGUCGCUAGUGUGAUAGUCUGUUCAUCAUUAGUGGCGCUUGCCUAACGGGCUUGCUUUCGAAUCGUCUUCUCAACGGAGACAAAUCAUUGACUUCUUUGACCUCAAAUCAGGCGGGACU